AUAAGAAUUAAUAUCUCCCUGUUAUAAGAAUAACAAGCAGAGAAAUAUUUCCCUAGAAGAGUUCACUGAAGACUUAAGAGGGACAACAAAGGACCUAAGCCUCGUCCCCUCCCUUAUCUCUGCCUUCCCCAAAUCAUUAUGUUGUACUUCAUAUAGAAGGAACACAAUAUUUCAUAUCUGAAAAUCUGAAAUAAUCUUGCAAACAGAUCAUUUAGAAAAGGUUAAAUAUCACCUCUCUCUCAAUAUGUAUUUUGUACAAACUGAUACAAGAAUGUAUGUAAGUAGCUGUGAACAGAAAAUACUAAUACUGCUAUGGUCAAUGACAAUGAAGAAACUGCAGUGCCUGGGACUUUCUCUCAGGAGUCAUCCUGCUAACAACUGUGUGAACGAAGAGCAGAAAAGGCAGCUUCACCCCAGAGAACUCAUCGCAUGUCAGAUAGCGUAUGGAGCUGGUGGACCAACACAGGCAAGGAGAAGCUGUCUGGGAACGCCUUGGACAUCCAUGGAAACCAUGAAGAACACAGUGGAGAGCUCUGUGCCUCGGCCAAGGGUAGGAUCCACCUUAUUCCUAGAAAAUGUCUAAUUUGUUCCCAGCCAUUCCAGUAGUGGAGACCUCACACCCCUCCAGGACAGUCUGU
Molecule: long non-coding RNA, 638 nt
Filed under: Anser brachyrhynchus (Pink-footed goose)
Lineage: Eukaryota; Metazoa; Chordata; Aves; Anseriformes; Anatidae
Description: lncRNA (ENSABRG00000020416.1)
Source: RNAcentral